Thioploca ingrica is the source of this 227-nucleotide non-coding RNA. It matches the Rfam family "HNH endonuclease-associated RNA and ORF (HEARO) RNA". The record is from Rfam. NCBI's taxonomy places the organism in Bacteria, Pseudomonadati, Pseudomonadota, Gammaproteobacteria, Thiotrichales, Thiotrichaceae.
GUCAACUACCCCGCCCUCAAGGGCGGAGCUUGUCAAAGCGAGGUUGACCAGACUAAGCCGCUAGUCAGAGUGGCUACGCCACCCCGAGGUCGUUAAAACUUACCAGCAGAUGCUUCCUGAGUCUGCUGCUCUAAAAGGCUUAAAUCAUGCUGGGGAAAGGUAAAGCCCCGAAGGUUUUAGUCGUGGCUAGCCACAGCCGCGGGGUGGCCUUGUUGAAGGGAAAUGGC